UACGUAGGGUGCAAGCGUUGUCCGGAAUUAUUGGGCGUAAAGAGCUCGUAGGCGGUUUGUCGCGUCGGCUGUGAAAACCCGAGGCUCAACCUCGGGCCUGCAGUCGAUACGGGCAAACUAGAGUGUGGUAGGGGAGACUGGAAUUCCUGGUGUAGCGGUGAAAUGCGCAGAUAUCAGGAGGAACACCGGUGGCGAAGGCGGGUCUCUGGGCAGUAACUGACGCUGAGGAGCGAAAGCGUGGGGAGCGAACAGG
RNAcentral lists this ribosomal RNA (253 nucleotides) under uncultured bacterium. RNAcentral's name for it is "partial 16S ribosomal RNA". It matches the Rfam family "Bacterial small subunit ribosomal RNA", at positions 524 to 776 of the family's 1533-position model. The record is from RNAcentral.